GACGAACGCUGGCGGCAUGCUUAACACAUGCAAGUCGAACGGAAAGGCCCUGCUUUUGUGGGGUGCUCGAGUGGCGAACGGGUGAGUAACACGUGAGUAACCUGCCCUUGACUUUGGGAUAACUUCACGAAACUGGGGCUAAUACCGGAUAGGAUCUCCUGCUGCAUGGUGGGGGUUGGAACGUCUCGGCGGUUGGGGAUGGAUUCGCGGCUUAUCAGCUUGUUGGUGGGGUAGUGGCUUACCAAGGCUUUGACGGGUAGCCGGCAUGAGAGGGUGACCGGCCACAUUGGGACUGAGAGACGGCCCAGACUCCUACGGGAGGCAGCAGGGGGGAAUAUUGCACAAUGGGCGGAAGCCUGAUGCAGCAACGCCGCGUGCGGGAUGACGGCCUUCGGGUUGUAAACCGCUUUCGCCUGUGACGAAGCGUGAGUGACGGUAAUGGGUAAAGAAGCACCGGCUAACUACGUG
RNAcentral lists this ribosomal RNA (468 nucleotides) under uncultured bacterium. Its description in RNAcentral is "partial 16S ribosomal RNA". It matches the Rfam family "Bacterial small subunit ribosomal RNA", at positions 28 to 507 of the family's 1533-position model. The record is from RNAcentral.